Molecule: ribosomal RNA, 417 nt
Filed under: uncultured archaeon
Lineage: Archaea
Description: SSU rRNA
Rfam family: Archaeal small subunit ribosomal RNA
Source: RNAcentral
GCAGAUGCUACUGGUAUUGGGAUUCGAUUAAGCCAUGCAAGUCGAACGAGUUUAGGCUCGUGGCGUACGGCUCAGUAACACGUGGAUAACCUACCCUUAGGACCGGGAUAACCUUGGGAAACUGAGGAUAAUACUGGAUAGGCAAUUUUUCCUGUAAUGGUUUUUUGUUUAAAUGUUUUUUCGCCUAAGGAUGGGUUUGCGGCCGAUUAGGUAGUUGGUUAGGUAAUGGCUUACCAAGCCUUUGAUCGGUACGGGUUGUGAGAGCAAGAGCCCGGAGAUGGAACCUGAGACAAGGUUCCAGGCCCUACGGGGUGCAGCAGGCGCGAAACCUCCGCAAUGUGAGAAAUCGCGACGGGGGGAUCCCAAGUGCCAUUCUUAACGGGAUGGCUUUUCAUUAGUGUAAAGAGGUUUUGGAAU